AACAUCCCUCCAUUGCCUCUGCAUCAGCUCCUGCUCCCUGACCUGCUUGAGUUCCAGUCCUGACUUCCUUUGGUGAUGAACAGCAGUAUGGAAGUAUCUGGAUUGUUCUCAGCCCUGGUGAGAGAAACUUCUUUUGUCAUCAGUGAACAACAGUCAGUUCAGAGAUGUAUGACUGAUCAAUAUGCUGAAUAAGUUGUUAUGAAAGCUCAUUCCUAAAAGGGACGUCUUCCUCCAAGGUUCCAAAAACAUCUUGAAGAAAAAAAUGAAAAAAAAAAGAGCUGGAAGAUGGAAAGAAGUGGUAUGAAAAUAAGUCUUCUGUACAUGGCAAGGCUAUUGUACCCAUGAAAUAUAACAUCUAUAGUUAUCUAUGCAAAAUCUAUAUAAGAUACAGCCAACCAAAUUUUCAACAUGUAUAAGUAGGACUUCACAAGUUUCAACUGAAGAGCUAUUAGGAGUUUCUAACUUUGGAGUAUUGCCAUUAGUACCUUUAGAUCCAGUGGGUGGCUCCAUACCCAUCACAUACAGACAAAACAAAUUUGACUUAUUAGGUUAUUUUUUUAAAAAGAAAAAGAUUAUUGAAUGUUGCAGAGUAAACAUACUAAAGUAUUUGUGUGGGUGGAUCUGAAGGGGGAAACUGUGGUAAAUAUGAUAAUUUUCCAUUAUGUACAUAUAUGAAAUUCUCAAAGAAUAAACUUAAUAAAAAGAAAUAACUGCAGCAUGGCUGCCCUCUGAGAGGUACAACAAGCAGCUGAGUC
Molecule: long non-coding RNA, 755 nt
Filed under: Mus musculus (house mouse)
Lineage: Eukaryota; Metazoa; Chordata; Mammalia; Rodentia; Muridae
Description: predicted gene, 49271
Source: RNAcentral